This 3046-nucleotide unclassified non-coding RNA is filed under the name Hevea brasiliensis (rubber tree). The record is from RNAcentral. Lineage: Eukaryota; Viridiplantae; Streptophyta; Magnoliopsida; Malpighiales; Euphorbiaceae.
GCCAAACCACAAAAACACUCUCCACAACUCUCUGUGUGCGCGCGAGAUAUAGAGAGAGGGGGGGCGUAGCUAGUUUUUGGUGGAUAGAGCGUCGGAGAAGGUAAUGAAAGCGUUUUAUCUAGCACUUAUUAUGUCAAUUUUGUUUCUCCAAAUUUGAUUCUAUAAAAUUUGUGUUCUCUCUCAUUUCCUUGCCAAAAGCGGUAAGAUCUGUGAAUUUGUAUCUCUUCAAAGCUUGACUUAUAAUUUUCUGUUUAGAUGUAUAAUAUUAUGGAUAUGUGUGGAAUUGGCAGCGGGGAAAUGAUCCAUUUAUUGUAGAAUACAAAUAGCAAUGAGUAGUGCUCCUAAAAGAUCUCAUGAAGAGAGUGUUCACUCAUCUUCUUCUUCAAAAUACCCACAUGAAGAAACAGGUGCAUACCCUAAGCUGGCAUCAGGGGUUUCAAGCGACUACCAUCCUUCUUCCUAUGAGAUAGCUGCAGAUGCCCGAAUUACAAAAAUUCCUCGUACUGAAUCUCGUGAUGGAGAUAGAAGAUCACCUUUACACUCAAUAUAUAGAGUGCCAUCGAGCUCCAAUGAUUUGCAUGUGGAUACUCAUUCAGUUGCUUCUGAAAUCAGGCUGGAAUCAAGAGAUUCCAAGGACAGCAGAGACUACAGGGUUGAAAGUCGAGAUUUGAGGACUGAAGCAAGAGACAUGCACAUCGAGCCAAAGAGGGAUUCCCUAAGUACCAAGAUUGAUAAGGAUUCGAGGUUUGAGAAUAGAGCAGAUGAUAAUAAAGAAAUAAAAUAUGACAAGGACACUUAUAAUGAUCCAAAGAAUGACAUGAAGAUGGAAAAGGAUGGAUUUAGCGUAGCAACUAGUCAAUUGAAUUGGAAGGAAUCAAAAGAAUACCACAGGGGAAAGAGAUAUUCUGAUUCCCCUGGUGGACAUGUGGAUCCUUGGCAUAUGUCGCGCGGUAACUCCCAAGGUGCAGUUGAGAUUGGAAAGGAAGGCUCAACCAUUGAAGAAAAGGAUUAUCCUGAAACACAUGAGGCUGUUGGUGAGAAUAGAGUUGAUUUAAAAGGUGAUGAUAAAUUUAAAGAUAAGGACAGGAAAAGGAAAGAUGUGAAACACCGGGAAUGGGGGGGAGACAGGGACAAAGAAAGAAUUGAUCGGAGGAGCAAUAUUCAAGUAGGUAAUAACAGUGGUGAGGGCAAAGAAUCAGCAAGGGAAGAGAGAGAAGCAGAGAGGUGGGAGAGGGAGAGGAAAGAUCUUUCCAAGGACAGAGAAAGGCAAAGGGAGAGAGAAAAAGACCUUACCAAGAGAGAAUCAUGGAAUGGAGUUGAGAAAGAGAGUUUGCACAGUGAGAAAGAGUUAGGGGAUGGAUCUGUUAGAGUGACAGAACAAGAAAAUCCAGUUUUGGAGCAGAAAAAACAGAAAGAUUUUGAUAGCUGGAAAAAUGUUGAUAGAGAAGCUAGAGACAGGAGGAAAGAAAGAGACCCUGACAUGGAAGGGGAUAAACCUGAGAAGCGCAGCAGGUUGUAUGACAAAGAAUCAGAUGAUGGAUGUGUGGAUGGUGAAGGUGCCACAGAAAGGGAAAGGGAAGUUUUUAACUAUGGAGUUCAGCAACGUAAGAGGAUGCUUCGGCCUAGGGGCAGCCCUCAAGUGGCAAAUCGUGAACCCCGUUUUAGGUCUCGUACCCAGGACAAUGAAGGAUCUCAAGGAAAAUCAGAGGUAUCCUCUGUUGUUUAUAAAGUUGGUGAAUGCAUGCAAGACUUGAUAAAGUUGUGGAAGGAGUAUGAGUCAUCCCAGACUGAAAAAAAUGGUGAAGGUACUCAUAAUGGUCCCACUCUUGAAAUUAGGAUACCAUCAGAGCAUGUUACUGCUACAAAUCGGCAAGUAAGAGGUGGCCAGCUAUGGGGGACAGAUAUAUACACAGAUGAUUCUGAUCUUGUUGCUGUUCUCAUGCAUACAGGUUACUGCCGCCCCACUGCUUCUCCACCUCCACCUGCUAUCCAAGAGUUAUGUGCUACCAUACGAGUGUUGCCUCCACAAGACAGUUACACUUCUAUGCUGAGAAAUAAUGUUCGUUCCCGUGCAUGGGGAGCUGGAAUUGGCUGCAGUUACCGUGUUGAGCGCUGCUGCAUUGUCAAGAAAGGAGGUGGAACUAUUGAUCUUGAGCCUUGUCUUACACACACAUCAGCAGUAGAACCCACACUUGCUCCUGUGGCUGUUGAGCGGACAAUGACUACAAGGGCUGCAGCUUCGAAUGCAUUGCGGCAACAGAGAUUUGUGCGUGAAGUUACAAUACAGUACAAUCUUUGCAAUGAGCCAUGGAUAAAGUACAGCAUAAGUAUUGUAGCUGACAAGGGUCUGAAAAAGCCCCUUUAUACUUCUGCACGUUUGAAGAAGGGAGAAGUUCUGUUUUUAGAGACACAUUCAUGCAGGUAUGAGCUUUGUUUUACUGGAGAGAAAAUGGCAAAAGCUACACCAUUGAUUCAUGGACAUGAGGAGACGGAGAAAUCUCAUAGUCACCACCCACACUCCUCAAAUGGUGAAAAAAGUGACCCUGAUAACAUCUUAAUUGAUGUAUUUCGGUGGUCGCGGUGUAAAAAACCCCUCCCGCAGAAGGUCAUGCAUUCAGUUGGGAUCCCACUGCCCCUUGAAUACAUUGAGGUAUUGGAGGAAAAUCUUGACUGGGAGGACGUGCAAUGGUCUCAAACUGGCGUUAGGAUUGCUGGGAAGGAAUACACCCUUGCAAGGGUGCAUUUUCUGUCUCCAAAUUAGCCGUAUCUUGUUUCUUAUUCAUGCUACAUCAAUUUAAAUCUUUGAGCUAAGAGGACUAGAAGACAUGGAAUUAGUAUGCAAUGCGACCAAGGUGGUGGGCGCAUUGAAAAUGGUAAAGGAAAUAGAGCAUAAUCUACAUCAAUUUAAAUUGUUCUUGGACGCACAAUGAUUGUCAUGUAUUUCCCAUUAUCAUUUAUCAGUAAAUUACCAAGCAAAUAACAUGGAUUAGAUUUAAGCAACUACCAUUUGAAAUUCUUUCCUAAUUAAUCACUUUUCUAAGAGUCG